UCUCAUCCAAACCACAUAUCUCAAGGUCCUUUCACGACGGUCUCAAACCCUAAACUCCCUCCAAACCAACCAUGUCUCCCCCUAAACCCUACCAUGUUUCAAGAAACCCUUGCUCCCUCUCUGUCCUAAUCCUCCCUUGAUUCGGACCUGACUCCCUCUCUCCAAUCGCUAGUGUGGAAGCGAACGCUCGGUGUGGUCUCCUUCUCUUCCCUCUACCACUGCCGCUGCUCUAGCCUCCAAAUUCGAUCGGA
RNAcentral lists this long non-coding RNA (251 nucleotides) under Elaeis guineensis (African oil palm). RNAcentral's name for it is "long non-coding RNA (EGUI_LNC042275)". Lineage: Eukaryota; Viridiplantae; Streptophyta; Magnoliopsida; Arecales; Arecaceae. The record is from RNAcentral.